GACGAACGCUGGCGGCGUGCCUAACACAUGCAAGUCGAACGGUCCGGCACUCAACCGACCCUCAGUCUAGCUGUAGGUGAAGUUGAGUGCCGGAUAGUGGCGGACGGGUGAGUAACGCGUGGGCAACCAACCCUGUACAGUGGGAUAACACCGGGAAACCGGUGCUAAUACCGCAUGACACCUAGAUGGUGCAUACUGUUUAGGUUAAAGGGCAAAACCGGUACGGGACGGGCCCGCGUCCCAUUAGCUGGUUGGUGAGGUAACGGCUCACCAAGGCGACGAUGGGUAGCCGACCUGAGAGGGUGACCGGCCACACUGGGACUGAGACACGGCCCAGACUCCUACGGGAGGCAGCAGUGGGGAAUAUUGCGCAAUGGACGGAAGUCUGACGCAGCGACGCCGCGUGAGCGACGAAGGCCUUCGGGUCGUAAAGCUCUGUUCUUGGGGACGAAUAAAAUGACGGUACCCAAGGAGAAAGCCCGGCUAACUACGUGCCAGCAGCCGCGGUAAUGAGUAGUACACU
This 523-nucleotide ribosomal RNA is filed under the name uncultured bacterium. Its description in RNAcentral is "bacterial SSU rRNA". It matches the Rfam family "Bacterial small subunit ribosomal RNA", at positions 28 to 536 of the family's 1533-position model. The record is from RNAcentral.